GUACAUUCGAGAGAGGAAGUUCCCCACCUUGGAACUGAGAACACGUCCAACCCUACGGAGGCAGCAGGAGGAUAUUGGUCCAUGACCGAGUCUGAUAAGCAGUAGCGUGCAGAUGACGCCCUAUGAGUGUAAACUGCUUUUGUACGGGAAUAAAGUGCGGGACGUGUCCCGUUUUGUAUGUACCGUAGAUAAGGACCGGCUAAUUCCGUGCCAGCAGCCGCGGUAAUACGAAGGUCCGGGCGUAUCCGGGAUUUAUUGGGUUUAAAGGGAGCGCAGGCUGGAGAUUAAGCGUGACGUGAAAUGCCGCGGCUCAACCGUGGAAGUGCGUCGCGAACUGGUUUCCUUGAGUGUAUUCGACGUCAGCGGAAUUCGUGGUGUAGCGGUGAAAUGCUUAGAUAUCACGAAGAACUCCGAUUGCGAAGGCAGCUGGCGAGGCUAUAACUGACGCUAAAGCUCGAAGGUGCGGGUAUCGAACAGGAUUAGAUACCCUGGUAGUCCGCACGGUAAACGAUGGAUGCCCGCUGUAUGCGAUAUACUGUAUGCGGCCAAGCGAAAGCGUUAAGCAUCCCACCUGGGGAGUACGCCGGCAACGGUGAAACUCAAAGGAAUUGACGGGGGCCCGCACAAGCGGAGGAACAUGUGGUUUAAUUCGAUGAUACGCGAGGAACCUUACCCGGGCUUGAACUGCAGGAGAACGAUUCAGAGAUGAUGAGGUCCUUCGGGACUCCUGUGGAGGUGCUGCAUGGUUGUCGUCAGCUCGUGCCGUGAGGUGUCGGCUUAAGUGCCAUAACGAGCGCAACCCCUGCGACUAGUUGCCAUCAGGUCAUGCUGGGCACUCUGGUUGGACUGCCACCGUAAGGUGUGAGGAAGGUGGGGAUGACGUCAAAUCAGCACGGCCCUUACGUCCGGGGCUACACACGUGUUACAAUGGGAGGUACAGAGAGAUGGUGUUCCGCAAGGCGCAUCCAAUCCUAAAAGCCUUCCUCAGUUCGGAUUGGGGUCUGCAACCCGACCCCAUGAAGCUGGAUUCGCUAGUAAUCGCGCAUCAGCCAUGGCGCGGUGAAUACGUUCCCGGGCCUUGUACACACCGCCCGUCAAGCCAUGAAAGUCUGGGGUACCUGAAGUCCGUGACCGCGAGGAGCGGCCUAGGGUAAAACAGGUGAUUGGGGCUAAGUCGUAACAAGGUAAAUCACUGGCCGUCGUACCCCU
RNAcentral lists this ribosomal RNA (1209 nucleotides) under uncultured bacterium. Its description in RNAcentral is "partial 16S ribosomal RNA". It matches the Rfam family "Bacterial small subunit ribosomal RNA", at positions 284 to 1533 of the family's 1533-position model. The record is from RNAcentral.